This is a long non-coding RNA of Alexandromys fortis (reed vole), 1431 nucleotides long. RefSeq lists it as uncharacterized. The transcript has 3 exons. NCBI's taxonomy places the organism in Eukaryota, Metazoa, Chordata, Mammalia, Rodentia, Cricetidae. The record is from RefSeq and is a predicted model, not a curated record.
AGGAGGGAUGGAGGAAGCUGACUGACACCUCUUGGCGUCGUCCUUGGCCUCCAGACGCACUCCUGCUAAGCCUGCCCUGCCUGUCUGUCCACCCAGCCCGCCCUUCGCGAGGCCGGAGGGAUCAGGCCAUGCUGACCCCAGGAAGCAACCUCAUGGACUCCAGGAUGCUCCUUAGAGACUGGGAAGCCCCCAGCCUCCAGGGAGGGCCACGGGCUGUUUACGUGAAUUCGUCACCGUGAUGUGGAUAGCACCGCUCACUAACGCCAGCUGCUUCUGUGUCUGCUCUGCCCACAGAGAACAAGAAGUGUGCCCUGUGUGGAGGAGGGCGCAUGGAGUUCAUUGAAGUCAAGGCCUGGUCCUCGCGGCUCUUCUCUAACACUUAGCCAAAUCCCAGAACAGCAUACUUCAGGUUGCCCUCAACAAAAGAAGUGUAAAACUCCCCACACCGUGAACAUUUACUUCACUGAAAGAAACUGAAGACCUGAAUCCUUGAGGAGGGGCUGGGGCGAUGGUGGAGGUCCUGCCUCAAGUGCACAGAGGCCUGGGUUCAGUCCCCAGUGAUACACACACACACACAGUACAAAUAAAAAAUAUUCUUUGGAUGUUACUAAGUGAUUAUUGGGAUGGUUCACACAUAUGUAAAAAUCCCUAAAGACCAUUUAACUCUUUAGGAAUUGGGCCUCCAAUUAACAAAGCACCAAUUCUAGCACCUCCAGCUUGGUUAAAGAAAGGCGGGUUCAAGGGAAAGAAUAAGUGUGGCAAGGACUCAGACAUCAGUCUCAUAGUACAGUUCAACCUGUCCCUUCCUGACUCCGUGGGCCAUUGUCCCAAGGCCCAGUAUUCCAGUACCAGAUUGAGCCUGAAGCCCAAAGCCUCCACAUCUAAACCACGGCCCAUGACCUCUCAUGACCUUGGUCAUCCUCUGCAGCCUUUCAGGCUGAAGAAACAAGUUGCUCAAGGCAUCAGAGUCACCUCCACUGGGGGUGGCAUAGUAACUAGCUAGGUUUCUUCUACUGUGACCCACGACCUAACAAGAAGCAACCUGAGCGAGGGAGGGAGGGUUUAUCUUGCCCUGAGGCAGAGGAAGGUGGAUCUCUGUGAGCUGGCUCCAACCUGGUCUACGAAUUGAAUAUGAGGACACCCAGAGAAGGUGGAAUCGUUUUUGAUCUGUUGUCAGUGCCCUACCCGGGACAAGAAAGUCACACGACAACAGUGCACCUUGUUUCUGUAAAUUAUUGCAAUCCCAAUAGCAGUAGUGAUGAGGUUACAGCUGCCAUUCAUUCUGGAAGCAUGAGUGUACAGACAUGGAGGAAAACUCCAAAAAAGAACCACGCAGUACCCACCAGAAGCUACGGCGUACUGCAGGGCCAUCAUCACUAACACAAGUUUGAAUGGACAUUUAAAAAAAAAACCCUCUAUUGCCAGGCGAUG